UACGGAGGGCGCAAGCGUUGUUCGGAAUCAUUGGGCGUAAAGCGCGUGCAGGCGGCUUGGUAAGUCGGGUGUGAAAGCCCGGGGCUCAACCCCGGAACUGCACCCGAUACUGCCUCGCUAGAGUCCCGGAGAGGAUGGCGGAAUUUCCGGUGUAGAGGUGAAAUUCGUAGAUAUCGGAAGGAACACCAGCGGCGAAGGCGGCCAUCUGGACGGUGACUGACGCUCAGAAGCGAAAGCGUGGGGAGCAAACAGG
Molecule: ribosomal RNA, 253 nt
Filed under: uncultured bacterium
Lineage: Bacteria
Description: partial 16S ribosomal RNA
Rfam family: Bacterial small subunit ribosomal RNA
Source: RNAcentral